UCCUGGACCGUGGGACCCGCUGGAGGGACGGGGGCCCAGCUGGGGGUCGGUUCUGUCAGAGGUCGACGGCACGGGUAGUGGGGGCCAGGGAGGGUCCACCCCUUGCUCUGACCCAGAGAGGUUCCCGGGCCAGGGGGCCCCGAGCAGA
Molecule: long non-coding RNA, 148 nt
Organism: Cervus elaphus (red deer)
Lineage: Eukaryota; Metazoa; Chordata; Mammalia; Artiodactyla; Cervidae
Exons: 3
Source: RefSeq, a predicted model, not a curated record